AUUUAACACUUUGUAAAACACAUUUAUUGUCUCUUUCUGAACGCUCUGUUCUAUAUUUCUUUAUUACAGCACAACAGGAACAAAUGUAGCUGUAAUUCUGACAGAGAACUGUCCCAAAAUCCCAGUGACAGUCCCGUCUACUACCCCGUCACCAUCAUCAACAACUGCAGUCUCCAGCGCUAGCACUACAGUCACCGUGACCAGCACGACUGAUAAUAAUACAACUACACUCCAGAAAUCCACCACUCCUUCGGUGACAACAGUGGCUAAUAUAACCAGCAACACAACUACCCUGAACACCACUGUUCCAGGUGUUCCCAACAUUCCAACAUCUACAGCAACAACAGUUACAACAAUCACAGUCAACACCACAGCCUCUACGACCUCCUCAGCGAGUGCAGAGCUGGCAGCUGAAGGUCUGCUGAACCAGAGCAAGAACGUUUCAGCUCUGAACUCCACUCAGGUGGAGAAUCUGGUGUCUCAGCUAGAGCAGCUUCUCUCAGGGCCUAACGUCAGCCUGGCUCUGGGGAACACCACUGUCAACAUCGUCAGCAAUCUGCUGGAUGCACCCAGUCAGGCACUGGGAACCAGUUCAAACAGGAUCAUUGGAUUAGUGGACACUGUUGGUUUGAAGCUGGUGGUUCAGGGACAGUCUCAGAGUAUUCUCUCUCCUGCUCUGGCUCUGGCAGUGAAAACUGUUGGGGCUGAGUUUCAGCAGACCACGUUCACCAUGACAGACUCCUCCAACCUGCAGGUACAACUUCCUUAAACAAAUAUUUUAACCAUAUUUCUAUAAAGUGUAAAAUCUCUGUAACUGAAACACUGCACAGCUUUUCAUAGCGUGGAAAGUCUGCUUAUUUUCAUUUGUUUAGUGACUAAAAAAUGCUGGAGAUCUGCUGAGAUGGAGAGAUGUUGUACAUAA
RNAcentral lists this long non-coding RNA (922 nucleotides) under Astyanax mexicanus (Mexican tetra). RNAcentral describes it as "lncRNA (ENSAMXG00005002692.1)". The record is from RNAcentral. Lineage: Eukaryota; Metazoa; Chordata; Actinopteri; Characiformes; Acestrorhamphidae.